Molecule: ribosomal RNA, 410 nt
Filed under: Sphingobium sp. S21
Lineage: Bacteria; Pseudomonadati; Pseudomonadota; Alphaproteobacteria; Sphingomonadales; Sphingobiaceae
Description: bacterial SSU rRNA
Rfam family: Bacterial small subunit ribosomal RNA
Source: RNAcentral
UGAUCCUGGCUCAGAACGAACGCUGGCGGCAUGCCUAAUACAUGCAAGUCGAACGAGACCUUCGGGUCUAGUGGCGCACGGGUGCGUAACGCGUGGGAAUCUGCCCUUGGGUUCGGAAUAACAUCGGGAAACUGAUGCUAAUACCGGAUGAUGUCGAUAAGACCAAAGAUUUAUCGCCCAGGGAUGAGCCCGCGUAGGAUUAGCUAGUUGGUGGGGUAAAGGCUUACCAAGGCGACGAUCCUUAGCUGGUCUGAGAGGAUGAUCAGCCACACUGGGACUGAGACACGGCCCAGACUCCUACGGGAGGCAGCAGUAGGGAAUAUUGGACAAUGGGCGCAAGCCUGAUCCAGCAAUGCCGCGUGAGUGAUGAAGGCCUUAGGGUUGUAAAGCUCYUUUACCCGGGAUGAUAA